GCUCAGGAUGAACGCUGACAGAAUGCUUAACACAUGCAAAUCUAUGUAUGAAAUGUAAGCUUGCUUACAUAGACUACAUGGUGGACUGGUGAGUAACGUGUAAAGAACUUACCUCUUAGACUGGGAUAACCAUUAGAAAUGAUGGAUAAUACUAGAUAUUAUUAGUAGUAGGCAUCUACUAUUAAUGAAAGGAGAGAUUGCUAAGAGAGAGCUUUGCAUCCUAUUAGCUAGUUGGUGGGGUAAAGGCCUACCAAGGCUAUGAUAGGUAGCCGGCCCGAGAGGGUGAACGGCCACAAGGGGACUGAGAUACGGCCCUUACUCCUACGGGAGGCAGCAGUGGGGAAUAUUGGACAAUGGAGGAAACUCUGAUCCAGCAAUUCUGUGUGCACGAAGAAGGUUUUCGGAUUGUAAAGUGCUUUCAGUAGGGAAGAAGAAGAUGACGGUACCUACAGAAGAAGCGACGGCUAAAUACGUGCCAGCAGCCGCGGUAAUACGUAUGUCGCAAGCGUUAUCCGGAAUUAUUGGGCUUAAAGGGCAUCUAGGCGGUCUAACAAGUUGAAGGUGAAAAGCUGUGGCUCAACCAUAGUCUUGCCUACAAAACUGUCAGACUAGAGUACUGGAAAGGUGGGUGGAACUACACGAGUAGAGGUGAAAUUCGUAGAUAUGUGUAGGAAUGCCGAUGAUGAAGAUAACUCACUGGACAGAAACUGACGCUGAAGUGCGAAAGCUAGGGGAGCAAACAGGAUUAGAUACCCUGGUAGUCCUAGCUGUAAACGAUGAUCACUGGGUGUGGGGGUGUGAAGCCUCUGUGCCGAAGCAAAAGCGAUAAGUGAUCCGCCUGGGGAGUACGUACGCAAGUAUGAAACUCAAAGGAAUUGACGGGGACCCGCACAAGUGGUGGAGCAUGUGGUUUAAUUCGACGCAACGCGAGGAACCUUACCAGGUCUUGACAUACUCGGAAUAAGAUGGAAGCAUCUUAGUGCCUUUGGGAACCGAGAUACAGGUGGUGCAUGGCUGUCGACAGCUCGUGUCGUGAGAUGUUGGGUUAAGUCCCGCAACGAGCGAAACCCCUAUCAUUAGUUGCCA
RNAcentral lists this ribosomal RNA (1086 nucleotides) under Streptobacillus moniliformis. RNAcentral's name for it is "bacterial SSU rRNA". It matches the Rfam family "Bacterial small subunit ribosomal RNA", at positions 22 to 1120 of the family's 1533-position model. The record is from RNAcentral. Lineage: Bacteria; Fusobacteriati; Fusobacteriota; Fusobacteriia; Fusobacteriales; Leptotrichiaceae.